CUCAGGACGAACGCUGGCGGCGUGCCUAAUACAUGCAAGUUGAACGCUUGAUUUUCACCGAAGCUUGCUUCACCGAAAAUCAAGAGUAGCGAACGGGUGAGUAACGCGUGGGUAACCUACCUAUCAGCGGGGGAUAACUAUUGGAAACGAUAGCUAAUACCGCAUAACAAUGUUGGAUGCAUAUUCGACAUUUGAAGGUACCAAAUGGUACACUGAGAGAUGGACCCGCGUUGUAUUAGCUAGUUGGUAGUGUAAUGGACUACCAAGGCGAUGAUACAUAGCCGACCUGAGAGGGUGAUCGGCCACAUUGGGACUGAGACACGGCCCAAACUCCUACGGGAGGCAGCAGUAGGGAAUCUUCGGCAAUGGACGAAAGUCUGACCGAGCAACGCCGCGUGAGUGAAGAAGGUUUUCGGAUCGUAAAACUCUGUUGUUAGAGAAGAACAUUGCAUAGAGUGGAAAAUUAUGCAAGUGACGGUAUCUAACCAGAAAGGGACGGCUAACUACGUGCCAGCAGCCGCGGUAAUACGUAGGUCCCGAGCGUUGUCCGGAUUUAUUGGGCGUAAAGCGAGCGCAGGUGGUUUAAUAAGUCUGAUGUAAAAGGCAGUGGCUCAACCAUUGUGUGCAUUGGAAACUGUUAGACUUGAGUGCAGUAGAGGAGAGUGGAAUUCCAUGUGUAGCGGUGAAAUGCGUAGAUAUAUGGAGGAACACCGGUGGCGAAAGCGGCUCUCUGGACUGUCACUGACACUGAGGCUCGAAAGCGUGGGUAGCAAACAGGAUUAGAUACCCUGGUAGUCCACGCCGUAAACGAUGAGUGCUAGUUGUUUGGGGCUAUCCAGCCCUAAGUGACGCAGCAAACGCAUUAAGCACUCCGCCUGGGGAGUACGACCGCAAGGUUGAAACUCAAAGGAAUUGACGGGGGCCCGCACAAGCGGUGGAGCAUGUGGUUUAAUUCGAAGCAACGCGAAGAACCUUACCAGGUCUUGACAUACUCGUGCUAUUCCUAGAGAUAGGAAGUUCCUUCGGGACACGGGAUACAGGUGG
RNAcentral lists this ribosomal RNA (1044 nucleotides) under Pseudolactococcus raffinolactis. RNAcentral's name for it is "bacterial SSU rRNA". It matches the Rfam family "Bacterial small subunit ribosomal RNA", at positions 23 to 1041 of the family's 1533-position model. Lineage: Bacteria; Bacillati; Bacillota; Bacilli; Lactobacillales; Streptococcaceae. The record is from RNAcentral.